This 254-nucleotide ribosomal RNA is filed under the name uncultured prokaryote. RNAcentral's name for it is "partial 16S ribosomal RNA". It matches the Rfam family "Bacterial small subunit ribosomal RNA", at positions 524 to 776 of the family's 1533-position model. The record is from RNAcentral.
UACGGGGGGAGCAAGCGUUGUUCGGAUUUACUGGGCGUAAAGGGCGCGUAGGCGGCCUGUGCAAGUCAGUUGUGAAAUCUCCGGGCUUAACUCGGAACGGUCAACUGAUACUGCUCGGCUAGAGUGCGGAAGGGGCAACUGGAAUUCUUGGUGUAGCGGUGAAAUGCGUAGAUAUCAGGAGGAACACCGGUGGCGAAGGCGGCUCUCUGGACCACAACUGACGCUGAGGAACGAAAGCUAGGGGAGCAAACAGG